This 253-nucleotide ribosomal RNA is filed under the name uncultured bacterium. RNAcentral describes it as "partial 16S ribosomal RNA". It matches the Rfam family "Bacterial small subunit ribosomal RNA", at positions 524 to 776 of the family's 1533-position model. The record is from RNAcentral.
UACGUAGGGGGCGAGCGUUGUCCGGAAUUAUUGGGCGUAAAGAGCUCGUAGGCGGCUUGGCAAGUCGGGUGUGAAAGCCCCGGGCUCAACCUGGGAAUUGCAUUCGAGACUGCGUAGCUAGGGUGCGGAAGAGGGAAGCGGAAUUUCCGGUGUAGCGGUGAAAUGCGUAGAUAUCGGAAGGAACACCAGUGGCGAAAGCGGCUUCCUGGUCCAGCACCGACGUUCAGGCACGAAAGCGUGGGGAGCAAACAGG